GGGCAGAUAGCUCAGUUGGUAGAGCACAGGACUGAAAAUCCUGGUGUCGGGGGUUCGAUUCCCCCUCUGCCCAC
Molecule: transfer RNA, 74 nt
Filed under: Polystyrenella longa
Lineage: Bacteria; Pseudomonadati; Planctomycetota; Planctomycetia; Planctomycetales; Planctomycetaceae
Description: Planctomycetes bacterium Pla110 tRNA-Phe
Rfam family: tRNA
About the family: Transfer RNA (tRNA) molecules are approximately 80 nucleotides in length. Their secondary structure includes four short double-helical elements and three loops (D, anti-codon, and T loops).
Source: RNAcentral